GCGCCAGUGGUUUAGUGGUAAAAUCCAUCGUUGCCAUCGCCGAGCCUCAACAGCUCCGACGAUCUCGAUGGGCCCCGCGUUCGAUUCGCGGCUGGCGCA
Transfer RNA from Coniochaeta ligniaria NRRL 30616, 99 nucleotides. It matches the Rfam family "tRNA". From Rfam's summary of the family: Transfer RNA (tRNA) molecules are approximately 80 nucleotides in length. Their secondary structure includes four short double-helical elements and three loops (D, anti-codon, and T loops). The record is from Rfam. NCBI's taxonomy places the organism in Eukaryota, Fungi, Ascomycota, Sordariomycetes, Coniochaetales, Coniochaetaceae.